GGCUGGUCCGAUGGUAGUGGGUUAUCAGAACUUAUUGACAUUAGUGUCACUAAAGUUGGUAUACAACCCCCCACUGCUAAAUUUGACUGGCUUUAA
This 96-nucleotide Y RNA is filed under the name Aotus nancymaae (Ma's night monkey). RNAcentral describes it as "Y RNA (ENSANAG00000010070.1)". It matches the Rfam family "Y RNA". Rfam says of the family: Y RNAs are components of the Ro ribonucleoprotein particle (Ro RNP), in association with Ro60 and La proteins. The Y RNAs and Ro60 and La proteins are well conserved, but the function of the Ro RNP is not known. The record is from Rfam by way of RNAcentral. Lineage: Eukaryota; Metazoa; Chordata; Mammalia; Primates; Aotidae.